UACAAAUAUAUAUAUAUAUAUAUAUAUAUAUAUAUAUAUAUAUAUAUAUAUAUAUAUAUAUAUAGAUAUAUAUAUACAAAUAUCUUUUGAGACCGAAUUAGAGGCAUACUCAUUAAACAAUGAACUAAUAUAAGUAUGAACCUCUUUUUCAAUAAUUGUCCCACUAUCUCCAAACAUCCUCUUAAGUACAAAACUAACCGUACUAAACUUGUAGCGAG
This 218-nucleotide long non-coding RNA is filed under the name Nicotiana benthamiana. RNAcentral's name for it is "long non-coding RNA (NBEN_LNC021360)". Lineage: Eukaryota; Viridiplantae; Streptophyta; Magnoliopsida; Solanales; Solanaceae. The record is from RNAcentral.